This 156-nucleotide ribosomal RNA is filed under the name Sarcoscypha austriaca. Its description in RNAcentral is "5.8S ribosomal RNA". It matches the Rfam family "5.8S ribosomal RNA". Rfam says of the family: 5.8S ribosomal RNA (5.8S rRNA) is a component of the large subunit of the eukaryotic ribosome. RNAcentral also lists the same sequence under 5 other names. The record is from RNAcentral. Lineage: Eukaryota; Fungi; Ascomycota; Pezizomycetes; Pezizales; Sarcoscyphaceae.
AACUUUCAACAACGGAUCUCUUGGUUCUCGCAUCGAUGAAGAACGCAGCGAAAUGCGAUAAGUAGUGUGAAUUGCAGAAUUCAGUGAAUCAUCGAAUCUUUGAACGCACAUUGCGCCCUCUGGUAUUCCGGAGGGCAUGCCUGUCCGAGCGUCGUC